AAUAUUUGUGUAACACUGCAUGCGGAAUUCUUGUUGGUUCUCUUUGACCUAAAUACUUAACAUCCUUAUAACAAGAAGAAGGGGAAGUUGGGGAGUUAUUUUGGGCGUGGUGGCAGCUGGGUUGGCUGGCGACGGGGCGAGGAUAAUGGUAGCGAAGCGACAAUGGACAGUGGUGGCGGCAGCAACAGAUGGUGCGGUGAUGGGUCGAG
Molecule: unclassified non-coding RNA, 209 nt
Filed under: Hevea brasiliensis (rubber tree)
Lineage: Eukaryota; Viridiplantae; Streptophyta; Magnoliopsida; Malpighiales; Euphorbiaceae
Source: RNAcentral